AAUAAGAGACAGGUGAAUCAUCGAAUCUUUGAACGCACAUUGCGCCCUUUGGUAUUCCACAGGGCACACCCGUUCGAGCGUCAUUACAACACUCAGGCCACGCCUGGUAAUUGGGUGCCGCCCCGUCAAACGGGCGCUCCUCAAACCCCUCGGCGUCGCCGUCCGUCCUCAAACGCAGCGAGAAACACCUUUCGGCGUUGUAGAGGCGGGCCGUGACCGCCGGAACCACACAAAUUCAAACGUUUGACCUCGGAUCGGGUGGGGAUACCCGCUGAACUUAAGCAUAUCAAUAAGCGGAGG
RNAcentral lists this unclassified non-coding RNA (300 nucleotides) under uncultured fungus. RNAcentral describes it as "sequence contains 5.8S rRNA gene, ITS2". The stretch from base 1 to 83 matches the Rfam family "5.8S ribosomal RNA", at positions 70 to 154 of the family's 154-position model. The record is from RNAcentral. Lineage: Eukaryota; Fungi.